UAAGGUGGUUAUUGCGUCGGGGCUCACCUCUUCCCAUUCCGAACAGAGAAGUUAAGCCCGAUUGCGCAGAUGGUACUGCAAUUUGUGGGAGAGUAUGUCGCCGCCUUUU
This 109-nucleotide ribosomal RNA is filed under the name Flavobacterium macrobrachii. The record is from RNAcentral. RNAcentral also lists the same sequence under 1 other name. Lineage: Bacteria; Pseudomonadati; Bacteroidota; Flavobacteriia; Flavobacteriales; Flavobacteriaceae.